GGCUGGGGGCGGCCCCGGUGUUGUGGUGACACCUGCCGGGCGGGAGCGGCGCGGCGGCGGCAGCUGCGCUGGGCAGAGGGGCGGGUGCUCGCGUAGGGCUGGGCCCGGCGGGCACUUGCUUCGUACGGUACGCUGCUUCCCAUCUACGCUGCCACCGGGCAGAGUAAAGAAAGAGUAGAAAGCAGAGCAGAGAAGCUGGUUGUUGCCCUCUGGAAAGAGAAAAUGUCUGGAGAGUAUACUGAUGGGCCAAAGGCAGGAUGGCUGUGCCUACAAAACUAGUGAAGCAAAUGUCAUCUGUAUUGGUGCUGCAUGCAGUGACCUCCAAAGACCUAACAUGAGAAGGAAGGAAUUUAUACACAAAGAGAUCAAGACCCUUUCCCACCUAAGGCGCCUGAAGCUCACUCCUCCGCCCCGUGGAGGUGCCAGGGCCGAGCUGGCAAGGGAACCGUCUCUACGCUUCUUAAAACAAGCACUGCCGGCAGAGAGGAGGGCAAGGUUCACGUGGACGAAGAAAACAAACUAGAGGAGCCUGACUAAGUAAUGUCUAGCGACAGAGGAAAGCUGCUCUAAGCAUCUGUUUAAUAAAGCCGAAUCCCUGUGACAUAAAGAGCUGACCCAGCAUGAAUUCCCUUACUCUAAUUCAUUCAGAGCAUUUUGAAGGGCAGCUUUCUCUCCACUGGCUUUAUGUUGGAUCGCCUAUCGUGUCCUCUCUAGUCCAGAAUAAAAUAUAAAACGAGUAUAAACACUGCAUUAUAUCCCGUGGCAAAUUCAACAAAAAAUCAAUUGUGCACUCACACUGUUCUGCGCUGAAUUUGUACUGCUUCAUACUCUGGCAACACACGAAUCUGGAAGAAAGCAAAGUGGAAGUACAGACUGGAGUGUAUCAGGAAAAGAAUUCUUAAACUCACACGAGUGGUCAGGCGCUGGAACAGCCUGCCCAGGGAGGAGGUGGAGUCACCGUCCCUGG
Molecule: long non-coding RNA, 967 nt
Organism: Numida meleagris (helmeted guineafowl)
Lineage: Eukaryota; Metazoa; Chordata; Aves; Galliformes; Numididae
Exons: 3
Source: RefSeq, a predicted model, not a curated record